GUGGGGAAUAUUGCGCAAUGGGCGAAAGCCUGACGCAGCGACGCCGCGUGAGGGAUGAAGGUUUUCGGAUCGUAAACCUCUGUCAGAAGGGAAGAAACUACGUUGUGCUAAUCAGCAGCGUACUGACGGUACCUUCAAAGGAAGCACCGGCUAACUCCGUGCCAGCAGUCGCGGUAAUACGGAGGGUGCAAGCGUUAAUCGGAAUUACUGGGCGUAAAGCGCACGUAGGCUGUAGUGUAAGUCAGGGGUGAAAUCCCACGGCUCAACCGUGGAACUGCCUUUGAUACUGCACAACUUGAAUCCGGGAGAGGGUGGCGGAAUUCCAGGUGUAGGAGUGAAAUCCGUAGAUAUCUGGAGGAACAUCAGUGGCGAAGGCGGCCACCUGGACCGGUAUUGACGCUGAGGUGCGAAAGCGUGGGGAGCAAACAGGAUUAGAAACCCUGGUAGUCC
This 450-nucleotide ribosomal RNA is filed under the name uncultured bacterium. RNAcentral's name for it is "partial 16S ribosomal RNA". It matches the Rfam family "Bacterial small subunit ribosomal RNA", at positions 354 to 796 of the family's 1533-position model. The record is from RNAcentral.